Molecule: transfer RNA, 92 nt
Filed under: Placozoa sp. H11 HM-2017
Lineage: Eukaryota; Metazoa; Placozoa
Description: tRNA-Ser
Rfam family: tRNA
About the family: Transfer RNA (tRNA) molecules are approximately 80 nucleotides in length. Their secondary structure includes four short double-helical elements and three loops (D, anti-codon, and T loops). Further hydrogen bonds mediate the characteristic L-shaped molecular structure. tRNAs have two regions of fundamental functional importance: the anti-codon, which is responsible for specific mRNA codon recognition, and the 3' end, to which the tRNAs corresponding amino acid is attached (by aminoacyl-tRNA synthetases). tRNAs cope with the degeneracy of the genetic code in two manners: having more than one tRNA (with a specific anti-codon) for a particular amino acid; and 'wobble' base-pairing, i.e. permitting non-standard base-pairing at the 3rd anti-codon position.
Source: RNAcentral
UAUUGAUAGCUAAGUUCGGUUUAAAGCAGCCGCUUGCUAAGCGGUGGGGGCGCUUCUAGCGCCCCCACAGGUUCAAAUCCUGUUCAAUACAA